GUCGGGUCUGUGUCUGACAAGCAUUGAUUUUACCUGGAGAUCACAGUGACUGUGACCAACAUCAGAUUCUUCUGGUUCCUCCAUCCUGAAGUUUAGAAGCUGAGCCGACUGCAGGAUUGAAGCAGAUCUAAACCAGAGGCUGCAGCGUCUCCCUCAGUUUCUAGCUAUAAUAUUUCUAUGGUGUACAUUUUAACCACCUGGCACCUUGCUGAAAACUUCUAACAGCACGUUUCACUGCUUGCUGGACAUUAGCACCAGUCGGCCAUCGUAACUUCCAGGAGAACUGCUGCUCUGCUUUAGCCUCUGAAGUUUCACUUUAAAACACAAAAUCCAGUUUGUGUUUGAGGACUGGAUCAGUGACAAGAAACACCUUUCCUGAUAAAGAUCUUACAUUAGCUUCCAGUAGAGGAGGACUACACUGUCUCACUCAGGGCGAGGAUGUCUACAAGCACCACAAUGGCAACGUCAUCUCAGACAAACAACUCUGACUUCAAGUGUUUAUCUGUGGCCCUUCUGAACAUUAAUGGCCUUAGAAACAAAACCGUUUGUAUUCGACAGAUAAU
Long non-coding RNA from Fundulus heteroclitus (mummichog), 563 nucleotides. RefSeq lists it as uncharacterized. Lineage: Eukaryota; Metazoa; Chordata; Actinopteri; Cyprinodontiformes; Fundulidae. The transcript has 4 exons. The record is from RefSeq and is a predicted model, not a curated record.